This 1953-nucleotide unclassified non-coding RNA is filed under the name Leishmania donovani. RNAcentral's name for it is "gene:LdHU3.21.0400(CDS-product:U1_small_nuclear_r ibonucleoprotein_C_putative)". Lineage: Eukaryota; Euglenozoa; Kinetoplastea; Trypanosomatida; Trypanosomatidae. The record is from RNAcentral.
UGCCUAUUUCUUCGCUGCCUCACCCUCCCUCCGCGCACCAGCCUACUUCAGGAUUGAGCCGUGGUGUGCAGCAGAGGUGGACGACCUGUGGUAGUGCGCGUGCCUGUUGGUUGUCCGGCUCGUCGUAGAAUGGCACGUUGAAAAGGACGAAGGAACCCCCCCCUCAACACGCAAGGCAGGCGCGCGCUUUCACCUAGGCAGGCACACAGCAAUGGACCCCUCUGCCGUAGCGGCACACGGCACAGCCGCUGGUGCUGAUCAACGCCAUCCACACAACGGCAACGGCAAUGGCGCGCUCUCCGGCGGUCAGCCCUCCGAGGCGGAGAUGAAGCGCAUCCGCCAGCGCCGCCGCCUGGCCUGUAAGACGCCGGAGCAGCGCCGAAAGCUGCAGCAGUAUCAGCGCCGGCACAACGAGAAAGAUGAGCGACUCUACUACUGUGACUACUGUGACCUGUUCAUCUCCUCGCGGCACAGAACGUGGAUGACGCACCUGCGCAGCGCUCGACACACGGUCGCGUUCCAGUCCUAUUACGACCUCGUCGCGCACGUCGAGAGCGUGUGGGUAGCGGAAAUAAACCGAGAGGUGGAGCUGGCACGGAGUCGCGAGGUGCAUCGAUUGCAGCAGCGAUCCGCUGGCAAGGGAGCCGCGACGCCGCUGACAGCGCAGCAAGUCGCGCCGGGUAUCGUCGUCGGAGGCGCACCCGCACCGGGGCGUCUUCCACCACCGCCGCCAUUUCCGCAGCCCCCACAUGGCUCAGCGCAGGUCGGCCCGACACCAACCAUCCGGGUCGGUGCCAAGACGAUUCUACCGUCUGCCGCGUUCGUAGCGUUGCCCUCUGCGGCGACGCCGUCGCCCGCGUCGCCAUUGGCAGAUGCGGAGAGGAGCAGGACGAGCGAGAAUGAGGCUCGGCUGUCCAUGCCAUGAGCUCGGAGCGGUACACGAACACAACAACGGCAAGCGAAGGAGGCUGUCUUGCUGCUCCUCAUGGAGGGAGGUGUCUGUGUGCCGCCCCAUCCGUCCAAAAGCAAGCGGGCACCGAAAGCUUGAAGCCAAAACGCGUGCGCGCACACAGAGCGGUGCCCACAACUCCUCUCCCUGAUAAUACGCCCACCGGUCAGUAAGCAGCAGCACGUGUACCGUUCUCUACAAGCAGGAGCGCCCUUCAUGGCGAGAGACACAUGCAACCCUCUCAGCGCGUGGCACCUCAGAGUCCAGUGCCCUCACCGUGGGAAAAGCCAGGCAGCCCCCUCCCCCAUCUCCUGCCAAGUGCCGAGCCGCUUCUGGUGGUGACGGGGUCAGGUACCUACGCCGCAGGGGGGAGGGUUCAGAGCGAUGUGUCGCUGCUGGUGCCGGCGGUGGCGUCCUGGAUGACGUUGCAUCGGAGUGGCCCGCGACAGCGAGGCAGAUCUGUAUCCAUCCACAUGAUGGGCAGAGCGUCAUCGUGACCCGAGCGUCCCCCACCCGGCCCGGCCCUCACACCGCCCACUGGUGUGGGUGGGGGGCAGGGGCCGUGCUCUCCGAUGGCUGGGUCGGCGCGUUGUUGUGGCGUGUGUGUGUCUACGGCUGCCAUCGGCCCACGCGAGGUUGGGCCUGUGGCAGGGGUCGGAGGGAGAGGUAGGUGGCAAUGGAGGGGCGGUUUGACCCCACGUUGUGCGGCGGAGAAAGGGGACUCACGUUCACGCAAAAACAACGGAAACCACGAAGACACGCGCACGGUGAGGUGAUGAGAAUCGAGGGCGUCUCGGCGAGUGUGCCCGUGUGCGCUGUGUGCGUCGCCCGCCCCCUCUCCUCGCUCGCUUUCUAUGCCGCCGCCACCCCCUCAGGUCGUCGUGCAGGCAGCGCCCCAGGCCCUCUGCACGUUUGCCAGUGUGUUGCCCUCUCCCUCGCUUCUUCCACUGUCCAUCGAUCUGCUCUUGCACAUUUGUUCCUGGCCCAUCUGCCAACGACAUAAG